UUUAUAUAUAUUUCAGUGACGUUUUGUGGUUGCAAAACCAUUGCAAAUUUAUUACAAACGUAGACGCGGCACCAAAAGUUCCAUCGGAUAUGGAUUUUGCGUCUUCACGUUAGAGGCACUGACUGUCGUGGAGAAAAACAUCCAAGAUACCUUUUCAGAAAACGGGAACCACCCUUUGGUAACGAAAAGCUGAAAUCAGCUUUCAAGAAGAACAAAAGACUAGUGGUUUCAUCGUAUACAGAAUCCGUCCUCGUCAAGGAAGCGUGUUCAGUGAUCAUGCAAGAGGCGACUGGAUGUAGUUAUAAAGAGGCCACAGAGGCUCUGCAACGAACGGUGGCCAAAUGUAUUUUCACAGCAUAUAGCUUGGCAACAACUCACCGCUCGAGCAUAAAAGAAUAUUGGUCAAGCGCCCUAGCGGAUAGACGUAAAGCCUGGUGAACACAAAGACACUAACAUCCUGCAGAAAAGUUCAACAUGGCUGACAACACCGUACGGUCGGAAGAUGUGUAAGGACAAAAUGGGAUCGUUGCAUUACAGACACCGGUUUACUGUUAACUGUUGAGUUAUCGAUCCGGACAGAACUUAAGUGUACACCACUGCAGUAUGAUGACAUUUAAGUUUUAUAGACUUUCAAGCAUUAGUUACUGUCACACAGCUCCGGACAUUGAAAGUGGAAGGACGGAGAACCACACAGAAACAAUAUCGGCGAAUGAUGAUGCAUAUUUGUUUUAAGUUUCGUGAAAUAGGUACUGUGAAACAGCUCCGGACGUACAACCUUCCUGAAUUUCAAUCUAUUAAGGGGUAAUAAAUUAAUUACGCGUGCACCGCAGUAUGACUGAACACAUUCAUAUUAAGUUUAAUGAAAUUUAAUAAAUAAUUAUUGAUAAACACCUCCGGACAUCGCCAAAAUAAUAUUCCUUCACUGUCUUAGAGGGGUAAAAAGCCAUCAUAAUGGAGGUGUCAUUUUGUCUACUUACAAGAGUUGGUGCAUCCGGAUUAAAUGCGUAUUCUACAUGCAAUAAUAAAUGCAUGCAAAAAUAAAUAUCUUUCUUGCAACAAGCGUAAAUCUACUGCAAAUCUUAGCAAAACAUUUGCAAACGUAUGUGCGUGUGUAUAGUGACGCAAUCAUACGUUUUUCCAUAGAUAAUUUGUUUCUUAAUGACAAUAUGUUUGUAUUGGAUUAAUAAAAUACCUGGAUAUUAUAUGAAUAUAUCAGUUUCUGUUCCGAAUCGCCACCCUGCUUCUUUCUAGCAGCACCAUGUACCUUUUGGGAUCCAAGAUCUUACCCUGUAUUAUACAGACGUACGUGGUCCUUUAUUCAUGGCAGGUGAUGAAUUGCCAAAACAGAACGGCACAAAACGAAACAAAAUACAAAAAGAGUACAAUAAAGCCGGUGUCACCGCUUUGGAACGGUCAAUGUUAACAACUGGGGUUUAAACAGGUUAAUGAGCGCUCAAACUCAUACGUGAAUCAUGAAUAUUCAUUAUACAUACAAGUGUAAAAUAUAGUACUCUUACAUUGUAUUAUAUUUAUGGCUAUAUGGUUGAUAAGAGCGCCUAUGUCUUUUGAAUAAAUGCUUAUAAUGGGAUAA
Molecule: long non-coding RNA, 1591 nt
Organism: Dreissena polymorpha
Lineage: Eukaryota; Metazoa; Mollusca; Bivalvia; Myida; Dreissenidae
Exons: 7
Source: RefSeq, a predicted model, not a curated record